Molecule: non-coding RNA, 528 nt
Organism: Punica granatum (pomegranate)
Lineage: Eukaryota; Viridiplantae; Streptophyta; Magnoliopsida; Myrtales; Lythraceae
Source: RefSeq, a predicted model, not a curated record
UGUGUUUUGGCCCCGCAAUACUUUUCUUCCUUUUCAAUUAUUGAACCCUCUCCCCCCGAGCCCCACCCCUUCUAUAAAUACCAAAUAUUCAUACCAAGAGUUACUCAACACUUUCAUAUUCCAUUUAUAAGACACAUAAGAGAGAGAGAGCAUCAGAUCGAGUUUGAAUUAUGGCAAGCAUCAACGUUCCUGGGAAGAGCUCUUGGCCGGAGCUGGUGGGGAAAAAUGGGGGGGUUGCGGCGACAACAAUAAUCAGUGAGAAUCCAAAAGUGUUUGUGGUGAUGAUCCCCCCCUCUGUCACGGCCAUUACCAGCGACUACGUAAACAAUCGUGUCCGUGUCUUUGUCGAUGACUCAUGCAAUGUCACCACAGUCCCAACUAUUGGGUAAACAAUCAUGUUACUAAAUUGAAUAAUAUGAAUGAGCUCCUCAAUAUGAUAGUUAGAGGAGCCCAUCGCUCUCGAAUGUUAUGAAAUAAAUGUUGUUUAACCUGGAUCUGUCUUAAUCUAGUUAUAAUGUUUUGUUUACA